AUCACUACUCAGCCUUUUGACUAAGAUCAAGCACAGUAUCUGUUCUUAUCAGUUUAAUAUGUGAUACGUCCUCUAUCAAAGGACAUUAUAUUAAAUGUAUUUUUGUAGCAGGAAAAUGGAACAGGAGCUUGCUCCAUCCACUCCACGCAUUGUCCACGCCACACAUCAAGUUGGUAUUACAGUACCUCUG
RNAcentral lists this small nuclear RNA (190 nucleotides) under Myotis brandtii (Brandt's bat). RNAcentral's name for it is "U2 spliceosomal RNA". It matches the Rfam family "U2 spliceosomal RNA". From Rfam's summary of the family: U2 is a small nuclear RNA (snRNA) component of the spliceosome (involved in pre-mRNA splicing). Lineage: Eukaryota; Metazoa; Chordata; Mammalia; Chiroptera; Vespertilionidae. The record is from Rfam by way of RNAcentral.